CGGGUGAGUAACACGUAUCCAACCUGCCGUCUACUCUUGGCCAGCCUUCUGAAAGGAAGAUUAAUCCAGGAUGGCAUCAUGAGUUCACAUGUCCGCAUGAUUAAAGGUAUUUUCCGGUAGACGAUGGGGAUGCGUUCCAUUAGAUAGUAGGCGGGGUAACAGCCCACCUAGUCAACGAUGGAUAGGGGUUCUGAGAGGAAGGUCCCCCACAUUGGAACUGAGACACGGUCCAA
This 233-nucleotide ribosomal RNA is filed under the name uncultured bacterium. Its description in RNAcentral is "partial 16S ribosomal RNA". It matches the Rfam family "Bacterial small subunit ribosomal RNA", at positions 103 to 334 of the family's 1533-position model. The record is from RNAcentral.